Molecule: non-coding RNA, 176 nt
Organism: Prunus avium (sweet cherry)
Lineage: Eukaryota; Viridiplantae; Streptophyta; Magnoliopsida; Rosales; Rosaceae
Source: RefSeq, a predicted model, not a curated record
UGGUUACUACCCUUUGGUAGAGUUGAAUUGAUCAACGUCUUGGGAUUGAACUUGUUGGAAUCAAAGGCACCCAUUCGGAUGCACAAACCAUCUCAUAUUUCAGAAAAUGAUGAUUGGAGUCCCGUCCAGGGAUUGUAUGAAAAUGGUAUAUACUGCACUUUUUUUGCUGGGAAUGA